RNAcentral lists this ribosomal RNA (258 nucleotides) under uncultured Basidiomycota. RNAcentral describes it as "partial 18S ribosomal RNA". It matches the Rfam family "Eukaryotic small subunit ribosomal RNA", at positions 624 to 886 of the family's 1831-position model. The record is from RNAcentral. Lineage: Eukaryota; Fungi; Basidiomycota.
AAGCUCGUAGUUGAAUUUCGGGCCUGGCUGGGCGGUCUGCUUAACGGCAUGUACUGUCUGGCUGGGUCUUACCUCUUGGUGAGCCGGUGUGCCCUUUAUUGGUGUGCAUCGGGGAACCAGGACUUUUACCUUGAGAAAAUUAGAGUGUUCAAAGCAGGCUUAUGCCCGAAUACAUUAGCAUGGAAUAAUAAAAUAGGACGUGCGGUUCUAUUUUGUUGGUUUCUAGAGUCGCCGUAAUGAUUAAUAGGGAUAGUUGGG